UACGUAGGGUGCAAGCGUUGUCCGGAAUUAUUGGGCGUAAAGAGCUCGUAGGCGGUGUGUCGCGUCGGCCGUGAAAACCUGCAGCUUAACUGCGGGCUUGCGGUCGAUACGGGCAUCACUGGAGUUCGGCAGGGGAGACUGGAAUUCCUGGUGUAGCGGUGAAAUGCGCAGAUAUCCGGAGGAACACCGGUGGCGAAGGCGGCUUCCUGGACCGACACUGACGCUGAGGCGCGAAAGCUAGGGGAGCAAACGGG
This 254-nucleotide ribosomal RNA is filed under the name uncultured bacterium. RNAcentral's name for it is "partial 16S ribosomal RNA". It matches the Rfam family "Bacterial small subunit ribosomal RNA", at positions 524 to 776 of the family's 1533-position model. The record is from RNAcentral.